GGAUCCUGAGACCUCCCAUGCCCUCUCUUUGGCCCCGGUGCUUCUGGAAUGAGGGAGGAGAAGGAGCCAGUCUGGAAGGGAGGCUGACAAGUUUCAUUUUUAAAAAUUGAUCUGCACUUGGAUAUCUCUGGAGAUGCCAGUAAGGUUGUUGGGUACAGAGGUCUGCAGCUCAGAGACCAGCAGGCAUCCUGAACAAGACAGAUCCAGGCAGACGGAAUGGCCUGUAGGAGAACUUGGCAGAGGGCACAACCAAGAAGAGUUCAAAGGCGCUGGCCAGUUCCAUGCGACUGCAUGGGGUCAUGGGAGAAGAGAUACACUUAAACCAGGGUCCCACAGGCUCAAUGGGUCUCCUUCCAAAAUCAGCUUCCAAUGAGCCCUCAGAUUCUCCAAAUACUGGGCAGCUGGAUUUCCCAGACACCUUCUGCAAUCUGCUGACAUCUAAUAUACCUGUAGACUGUUCUCCUGCUGACAAGGUUGUUCUUGCUCUUAUCCUAUAAAGAAGAGAGGUGGCAGAGAGUUGGAGGGGAGGGCCUCCUUCCCUGGCAUGUCCAUCCGAGGGUCUCCAAGAACAUCCUGGCUGUGGCCCACACCUUUCUGUGUGGUUAGGAGGAGUAUCGGAUGCCUUCUCUUUCCAACCUUGGCUUGUGUGAAGAUGGUGUUAUGGUGAUGUAAGAGGACGGCUCUAUUCUGAGUGAUGCAAGAUCCAACAUUUAGGCAUGAAAUGCCAUGAUGACAGCCGCCUACUUUAGCAAAAGGGAAGUUGUGUGUGUGUGUGUGUGUGUGUGUGUGUGUGUGUGUGUGUGUGUGUUUUUACGCGUAUGCAUAUAAAUAGAGGAAGUCGCUGCAGCUAGAUGGUGAAUCUACGUGAGGAGUAUCUGGCUGUUCCUUGUACUGUUCUUUCAACUUUCUGUGGGUUUGAAAAUUUUCAAAACAAGACAAAAAAUGUUUUUCAAGCACUGUUUGAGAGGAUAGGAAAUAGAAAUGGCUCUUAUUAAAGAGCCAUUCAGAAGACUGUUUUCUUCUAUUUCCUUUUCCCCCACGACUAUGACCCUCAGUGCCAGCGAUUUCUCCUUUCCAUAAACUUUUGUUUGACCUUAAAUCAUUGUGACACCACUGAGCAGGGAAUCUCAAUAAUGGCUGACAUAUCUGGUAGCAAAAGGAAAUGAAGUAUUUUUAUUUUCUCAGGGAACUAAAGGUUAUCUUCUAAAUUCAAAUUUUUUUUUUUUUUUUUAAAGAUGAAGUGUUGCUCUGUCACCCAGGCUGCAGGGAAGUGGUGUGAUCUUGGCUCACUGCAACCUCCGCCUCCCAGGUUCAAACAAUUCUCCUGUCUCAGCCUCCCGACUAGCUGGGACUACAGGCGCGGGCCAGCACACCUGGCUAAUUUUUGUAUUUUUAGUAGAGAAGGGGUUUCACCAUGUUGGCCAGCCUGGUCUCGAACUUCUGGUCUCAAGUGAUCCACCUGCCUUGGUCUCCCAAAGUGCUGGGAUUACAGGCAUGAGCCACUGCACCCAGCCUCAAAUUUCUUAUAUUGAGCUUCAACUAUGCAAGAUCCCAUGAGAGGAAUGAUAUACCAAGAUGAACAACAAUAUGGUCUCUGCCUUCAAGGGGUAUAAAAUCUAACCCAUACAAAUGGGCUCCCAAGCAUUUUUU
Molecule: long non-coding RNA, 1650 nt
Filed under: Homo sapiens (human)
Lineage: Eukaryota; Metazoa; Chordata; Mammalia; Primates; Hominidae
Description: HSALNT0084933
Source: RNAcentral